AUGCACAUGAAGAUGGUCAAGACCCCAAGUCCAUGGAAGAAGAGAACCAAUGGAAGAAGGCUAGAACAACCUCCAGGCACCGGACAUCCGGCCAGGACCCCGGACAUCCGGCCCCUGGAGAUCUACAUGGCCAGGCCUCUACAGAAGAAGCUACAGGGACCGGACAUCCGGCGUCCAGCCCGGACAUCUGGCCCACCUCACCGGAAAUCCGGCCAAAAUCCCGGACAUCUGGCACCAGCGUCCAGGGAGCACAGAAGGUUGCCCCGUCAGCCCGGACAUCCGGCCAGCACCCCGUACAUCCGGCGCCUCCCGAAGCAACGGACAUCCGGCCCCUCCGAGCGGACAUCUGGCGUCGCCCAUCCAGAGAACAGAACGACCGUCUGCAUCAGCCCGGACAUCCGGCCCUUCAGCCAGGACUCCAGCCCCUCAUGA
RNAcentral lists this ribosomal RNA (432 nucleotides) under Triticum aestivum (bread wheat). RNAcentral's name for it is "partial small subunit ribosomal RNA". The record is from RNAcentral. Lineage: Eukaryota; Viridiplantae; Streptophyta; Magnoliopsida; Poales; Poaceae.